This 330-nucleotide ribosomal RNA is filed under the name uncultured bacterium. Its description in RNAcentral is "bacterial SSU rRNA". It matches the Rfam family "Bacterial small subunit ribosomal RNA", at positions 373 to 710 of the family's 1533-position model. The record is from RNAcentral.
GGGCGCAAGCCUGAUGCAGCGACGCCGCGUGAGGGAUGGAGGCCUUCGGGUUGUAAACCUCUUUUGUUAGGGAGCAAGGCACUUUGUGUUGAGUGUACCUUUCGAAUAAGCACCGGCUAACUACGUGCCAGCAGCCGCGGUAAUACGUAGGGUGCAAGCGUUAUCCGGAAUUAUUGGGCGUAAAGGGCUCGUAGGCGGUUCGUCGCGUCCGGUGUAAAAGUCCAUCGCUUAACGGUGGAUCCGCGCCGGGUACGGGCGGGCUUGAGUGCGGUAGGGGAGACUGGAAUUCCCGGUGUAACGGUGGAAUGUGUAGAUAUCGGGAAGAACACC